GAGAAGGGUGAAGGCCGGGCUAGUAGUCGCUGCCCGCUGGGCAGCAUCUGGAGGCCCGUGCGGGAUGCAGGCGAGGGGGAUGGAGCGGCGCCGCUGGAGGAAAUGCCGACAAGCCCAAAGGAAAGCGGAGUGUCCUGUGUGCCACAUGGAACUCGGGGAAAGGAAAUGAUUAAAGCCGUGAGGUUUCCUGGCUCUUCGUGGUGUUUACGAGCAGUGGUUUUUAAACCACGGGUUGUCAACUAUUUGUUCAUCUUGAAACCAAUACUGUGGGGGAGAAAUAGCUGGUGUCAGAAAGUUUGCAAAAGAUCCUGGUGUCUUAACAGCUGCUGGUAGAAUGGCUGAGGGCCAUAGUGAGUACUUCAGAGGCUUGGUGACUGAUGCGAGGGUGAAGACUCUUCCACUGCUUUUACAGCCCCUCUGCUCUGGUGCUGAGAAGCAGGCAUUGCGAGAACACGCUCACGCUCACUGAUACCAGACUACUUGAGAAAACAAGGUGUCUGAAAUACAAGAUACCUGUGAGCUGAUUUCAACCAUUUAUAACGAACUCUGAGAGCAAAGCGGUGCAAUAAUCUAUAGAUCCUGUCUGACUUAAGAUCUGUUACAUAUCACAGAUGCCCACUCUACGUUUUUUUACCUGCUAAAAGUCCGGCGACGGCCCCUGAUAGUCAAUCUUGUUAGCCAGAUAAGAUGUUUUUAAUCACCGUGGAAAUGAAUCUCUAGGGGAAAAUCUACUUCAGGUUAAUUGGCGUAGAAAGAUCCACAUUAAAUAUAGGUACUAGCAUUCCAUGGAGUGGAGUCCUUAACUGAAUACAAAGAAAAAAAGCAAGCUGAGCCCAUUCAGCUUUCUCUGCUUCCUGGCCACAGAUACAGCGUGGCCUGAAGCUUGGGUGUUACGUCUUGUCCCCUCUGCUGAACUGUACCCUAGAGAAUCCCGAGCCAAAAUAAACUCCUCCUUUCUUAA
This 961-nucleotide long non-coding RNA is filed under the name Mus musculus (house mouse). RNAcentral's name for it is "Hand2 downstream lncRNA". Lineage: Eukaryota; Metazoa; Chordata; Mammalia; Rodentia; Muridae. The record is from RNAcentral.